AGAUUGAACGCUGGCGGCAGGCCUAACACAUGCAAGUCGAGCGGCAGCACGGGUACUUGUACCUGGUGGCGAGCGGCGGACGGGUGAGUAAUGCCUAGGAAUCUGCCUGGUAGUGGGGGAUAACGCUCGGAAACUUACGCUAAUACCGCAUACGCCCUUUCGGGGGAAAGCCGGGGACCAGCAAUGGCCUGGUGCUGAUAGAUGAGCCGAUGUCGGAUUAGCUAGUUGGUGAGGUAUGGCUCACCGAAGGCGACGAUCCGUAGCUGGUCUGAGAGGAUGAUCAGCCACACUGGAACUGGAGACACGGUCCAGACUCCGUAGGGAGCAGCAGGUGGGAAUAGUGGACAGUGGGCG
RNAcentral lists this ribosomal RNA (354 nucleotides) under uncultured soil bacterium. RNAcentral describes it as "bacterial SSU rRNA". It matches the Rfam family "Bacterial small subunit ribosomal RNA", at positions 26 to 377 of the family's 1533-position model. The record is from RNAcentral.